ACGUCUCUAGAAGACAUCUGAAGGGGAUUAAAGAUUAUCGGUGAUGGAUGGGGAUGCGUCUGAUUAGCUUGUUGGCGGGGUAACGGCCCACCAAGGCGACGAUCAGUAGGGGUUCUGAGAGAAAGGUCCCCCACAUUGGAACUGAGACACGGUCCAAACUCCUACGGGAGGCAGCAGUGAGGAAUAUUGGUCAAUGGGCGAGAGCCUGAACCAGCCAAGUAGCGUGCAGGAUGACGGCCCUAUGGGUUGUAAACUGCUUUUAUAAGGGAAUAAAGUGAGUCUCGUGAGACUUUUUGCAUGUACCUUAUGAAUAAGGACCGGCUAAUUCCGUGCCAGCAGCCGCGGUAAUACGGAAGGUCCGGGCGUUAUCCGGAUUUAUUGGGUUUAAAGGGAGCGUAGGCCGGAGAUUAAGCGUGUUGUGAAAUGUAGAUGCUCAACAUCUGCACUGCAGCGCGAACUGGUUUCCUUGAGUACGCACAAAGUGGGCGGAAUUCGUGGUGUAGCGGUGAAAUGCUUAGAUAUCACGAAGAACUCCGAUUGCGAAGGCAGCUCACUGGAGCGCAACUGACGCUGAAGCUCGAAAGUGCGGGUAUCGAACAGGAUUAGAUACCCUGGUAGUCCGCACGGUAAACGAUGGAUGCCCGCUGUUGGUCUGAAUAGGUCAGCGGCCAAGCGAAAGCAUUAAGCAUCCCACCUGGGGAGUAC
Molecule: ribosomal RNA, 705 nt
Filed under: uncultured bacterium
Lineage: Bacteria
Description: bacterial SSU rRNA
Rfam family: Bacterial small subunit ribosomal RNA
Source: RNAcentral